Molecule: ribosomal RNA, 380 nt
Filed under: uncultured cyanobacterium
Lineage: Bacteria; Bacillati; Cyanobacteriota
Description: bacterial SSU rRNA
Rfam family: Bacterial small subunit ribosomal RNA
Source: RNAcentral
CGAAAGCCUGACGGAGCAAGACCGCGUGGGGGAGGAAGGCUCUAGGGUUGUAAACCCCUUUUAUCUGGGAAGAACAAAAUGACGGUACCAGAUGAAUAAGCCUCGGCUAACUCCGUGCCAGCAGCCGCGGUAAUACGGAGGAUGCAAGCGUUAUCCGGAAUUAUUGGGCGUAAAGCGUCCGUAGGUGGUUAAUCAAGUCUGCUGUUAAAGAGCGGAGCUCAACUCCGUUUAAGCGGUGGAAACUGGUUGACUAGAGAGUGGUAGGGGUAGAGGGAAUUCCCAGUGUAGCGGUGAAAUGCGUAGAUAUUGGGAAGAACACCGGUGGCGAAAGCGCUCUACUGGGCCACAUCUGACACUGAUGGACGAAAGCUAGGGGAGCG